UGGUAGGACUAUUUUCAGUGCCAUAUUUCUAUCCAUGGUGGGCUAUUCACAGUGUCAUAUUUCUGUUUAUGAUGGGCUAUUUUAAGUAGUACAUUUUUGCUCAUAUCUGGGCUAUUCUCAGUACCAUAUUUUUACCCAGGGUGGGUUAUUCUUAGUGUUAUAUUUUUGCUCGUUAUGGACUAUUCUCAGUAUCACAUUCUUGCUUAUGAUGAGGCUAUUCGUAAUUUAAUGUGACUAGUCCAAACACCUCUUUCUUGAUCAUCAAUUUAUUAAUCUCAAUUAUGCCAGAAAAAUAUUAUAAAUAUUAUAUUCUUUCAAAUUUCUAAUAGUUGGUAUCACAGUCUAAACCAUCCGAAUAAUCAUCAAUAAAAACAUGUAACACAG
RNAcentral lists this long non-coding RNA (384 nucleotides) under Elaeis guineensis (African oil palm). Its description in RNAcentral is "long non-coding RNA (EGUI_LNC011995)". The record is from RNAcentral. Lineage: Eukaryota; Viridiplantae; Streptophyta; Magnoliopsida; Arecales; Arecaceae.